AACAAACGCUGGCGGCAUGCCUAACACAUGCGAGUCGAACGAGACCUUCGGGUCUAGUGGCGCACGGGUGCGUAACGCGUGGGAACCUGCCCUUAGGUUCGGAAUAACUCCCCGAAAGGGGUGCUAAUACCGGAUAAUGUCUUCGGACCAAAGAUUUAUCGCCUUUGGAUGGGCCCGCGUUGGAUUAGCUAGUUGGUAGGGUAAAAGCCUACCAAGGCGACGAUCCAUAGCUGGUCUGAGAGGAUGAUCAGCCACACUGGGACUGAGACACGGCCCAGACUCCUACGGGAGGCAGCAGUGGGGAAUAUUGGACAAUGGGCGAAAGCCUGAUCCAGCAAUGCCGCGUGAGUGAUGAAGGCCUUAGGGUUGUAAAGCUCUUUUACCCGGGAUGAUAAUGACAGUACCGGGAGAAUAAGCUCCGGCUAACUCCGUG
RNAcentral lists this ribosomal RNA (433 nucleotides) under uncultured bacterium. Its description in RNAcentral is "partial 16S ribosomal RNA". It matches the Rfam family "Bacterial small subunit ribosomal RNA", at positions 29 to 507 of the family's 1533-position model. The record is from RNAcentral.